GACGAACGCUGGCGGCGUGCUUAACACAUGCAAGUCGAACGGAAAGGCCCUGCUUUUGUGGGGUGCUCGAGUGGCGAACGGGUGAGUAACACGUGUGUAACCUGCCCUUGACUUUGGGAUAACUUCAGGAAACUGGGGCUAAUACCGGAUAUGAGCUCCUGCUGCACGGUGGGGGUUGGAAAGUUUCGGCGGUUGGGGAUGGACUCGCGGCUUAUCAGCCUGUUGGUGGGGUAGUGGCUUACCAAGGCUUUGACGGGUAGCCGGCCUGAGAGGGUGACCGGCCACAUUGGGACUGAGAUACGGCCCAGACUCCUACGGGAGGCAGCAGUGGGGAGUAUUGCACAAUGGGCGGAAGCCUGAUGCAGCGACGCCGCGUGCGGGAUGACGGCCUUCGGGUGGUAAACCGCUUUCGCCUGUGACGAAGCGUGAGUGACGGUAAUGGGUAAAGAAGCACCGGCUAACUACGUG
Molecule: ribosomal RNA, 468 nt
Filed under: uncultured bacterium
Lineage: Bacteria
Description: partial 16S ribosomal RNA
Rfam family: Bacterial small subunit ribosomal RNA
Source: RNAcentral